This 253-nucleotide ribosomal RNA is filed under the name uncultured bacterium. Its description in RNAcentral is "partial 16S ribosomal RNA". It matches the Rfam family "Bacterial small subunit ribosomal RNA", at positions 524 to 776 of the family's 1533-position model. The record is from RNAcentral.
UACGUAGGGUGCGAGCGUUAAUCGGAAUUACUGGGCGUAAAGCGUGCGCAGGCGGUUUGUUAAGUCAGAUGUGAAAGCCCCGGGCUUAACCUGGGAACGGCAUUUGAAACUGGCAGGCUGGAGUGCGGCAGAGGGGGGUGGAAUUCCACGUGUAGCAGUGAAAUGCGUAGAGAUGUGGAGGAACACCGAUGGCGAAGGCAGCCCCCUGGGCUAACACUGACGCUCAGGCACGAAAGCGUGGGGAGCAAACAGG